AUACGCUGAAUUAACGACAGCCGUGUGCAAUGUGACCGCGUCUCGCAAACAUCACGCUGGUCAAAACCAACAUAAAGAACGAAAGCCAGACGUAAAGAACACACACCGGAUGGAUGCACUUCUAAAAAAUUUCAACAACAGGGAAAAAUCAAACAACAGUGUCCAUGGAUGUAUAUUUAAGUAGUAAAAUUUUAAAGAAAAGCAAAGAAGUGAAUGAGCAUAAAAGGAGGCCCAGCGAUCACCUUUGAAAAGGGGAACCGCAGCCCAGAAGGGAUGCGCGCGAGGGCUCCGGGGGGCGCGCAGCUGGUGAUCUCCUGAACUGAGAAGGCGUUUACUUCAUACGAGACAAAAAUUAAGCUGUACCUUAUGUUUCAUAUACUUUUCUAUAUGGUUGUUUCAGUUCACAAUAAAGAGAAUUAAAGUAAACGUCAAAAGCUAUCUGCAGAAAAAAUAAAAAUCUGGCCGAAAAUCCCUCCGUGCUAUGGGCGGGCCUCCUUUCCGCCAUGCUUACCUGGAGAAGACAGUCUUGGAAAUGACACAGCAGGUGUCUGAGGCUCUUCCCGGGGACACUGCGAUUUUCAAAGGCCUCGCUGCAGAGGGAUUGGCCGCGUGUCAUCAGACUUUGAGCUGUGGUGUGCGUGAAAUAACUUCAGCUACUUAUUUCCUUUUGGAACUGUGCCUAUCCCACCAGAGGGGUGCUCCUUUGUCCCCCAGCCUGCAACUGCGAGGGAGGUGGAAAUCUGUGCUUCUGAUACCUGGGUCCUGGGGCCCACGGCACAGCAGGAGGACAUCACGACAGUUGUGGGCAUGGGGGAGUCAGAGUGUGGUGGUCCUGCCUUGACAGUGGGCCUUGGGGGGCAGAGUGACUGGCUCAGGGGCACAGAACGAGAUAACAGGUUUGCACCUCGAACCCAGGCCAGACGCAUCGCCCCGUGCUCCUCGGGGCGGGGGGGGAAAGCGUCUCUCCCGGUUCUGUUCUCUUGGAGCUUUUCCUCUAGUUUUCAUUCAUCAGUCAGGGAUUUCCAUCAGCUGGAACAGAAACCGACGGCACAGGGCGUGGCUUUCAUUUUCUCUCCUCUAACAGCGCAUCUCCAGGUAAGUGGCUGCUGGUGUUGUCUCAGUGAUUGGAGGGCGGGGGGUUGGGCACGAGACUUCUGCUCUUCUCCUGGUGGCCCCAAACCAGAGCCAGCAUCAGGACAUGUGGCACCUUAUGAAAAGUACAAAAAGGUGCCCUUCUGAGCAGGUGAAGUACAACAGGACUCACCCAGCCCGCAGAGCCACAUCAAUGUCUCAAAAGGACUUCAGAGAAGACCUGUUUGGGUCCAUUUCCAGAAACGAAAUGUCCAGCCUCUCUGUGCUUAGAUUUUACCCUCCUUUCAAGCUAAUAGGUUAGCCGGUUGCUGUUUCUUGCAUGCUGCCAGAAGACAAGGGAUGGAUCAGAGACUAGAGACUUUAUUAUGCAGAGCAUGGCACCCAGCAUGAACACCAGCGUCUCUGGUGGGGCCUCCUGGAGUCUCAGGGGAGCAGCCGGAUGGCAUAACCCAGAGGGUGACCACACAGGCAAUGAGCUGAGGAUCUUGGAGCUGGGGGGAGCCACUGCUUUUAUAGCACGCAAGCCUGCUCUUUGUCCAGGGGGAGACAGUCCCUUGUCCCACAAGGUCACCAGCUGUGUAAACAACCCCAAGAACUGGCUGAGAUAAAACAGUGGUUAGGAUUUUGCAUUCUUGGCACACACAGCAGGACGUGAGGGACCCAGGGAGGCUCUCUCCCGACAGGGACCACCUCUGUGGCUGAAAAGCCAGAGACACACAAUUAACUGGCCUGCCAGAACUGUGUGGAAUGGGAAAGCAGCAGUUCCCAAAGGAGAGGGUGCGGGGAUAAACAAAAACAAAAACAAAAACAUAGCAAUGGCAACAGCAAGAGCAGCACGUGUGCACCAGCCUCCAAUGAGCCAGAGGGGG
Long non-coding RNA from Equus asinus (donkey), 1961 nucleotides. The record is from Ensembl. NCBI's taxonomy places the organism in Eukaryota, Metazoa, Chordata, Mammalia, Perissodactyla, Equidae.